Molecule: long non-coding RNA, 786 nt
Organism: Bos taurus (domestic cattle)
Lineage: Eukaryota; Metazoa; Chordata; Mammalia; Artiodactyla; Bovidae
Source: Ensembl
AGAGAGAUUUCUCCUGCUGGCCUUGAAGGUGCACACUGCCAUGCUGUGGAAGGGCCACGUGGCCGGGCACAGCAGGCAGGCUCUAGGAGCUACGGGAUUCAGCCAACAAAAGAGUAGGGGCCUCAGUCCUACAGCCACAGGUAGCAGAAUUCUGCCAACAAUCUGAGAGAGCUUGGGAGUGGAUAUCUCCCUAGCUGAGCUUCUGGACAACUCUUCUCAGCUCCCUUGCAGGACCAAAGAGCUGGCUUCAUGUUCCAGAUGAUGAAUGUACAAGAAGAUGGAGCCAUCAUCAUUCUGGAUCUUUGAGGACCACAUGGAAGACAGUUGCCCUGAAGAGUCUCUCAGGCCCCUUUUACUUUGUGUGGGUACAACCAUGGGGCUUUGCUUGAAGAUGCCUUCUCCAAAGAUAUGUGGACACCCCUCCAGGUGCCCUCAGUACCUGAUUCACAGCCUCCCUGCCCUAAGCCCUCUCAGUCUGGAAAAAAGCCCCAACACCACAUUCCUCACUUCCCUCUUCCAUCCCAAACUUUUUUGCUGACAUCCUGGUAAAGCAGUUCCAACUCAUCAAUGGGGCCACAGUGCAUACAAGCUCAGGGAUAUCUCACAAGUGACAGCACUUGACAGCUUAUAAAGUUUUUUGUGUCCGUUAUUUUAUCGAGUCCUCACAAAAAUCCUACAUCGCUGUUUAAGGAGAAGGGCACCCAGGUUCAGAGGAAGAGUCUAACUAAGGUAACAAGGAAUGGAAGCCAGGCCUCUCUGGUCACAAUGCACAUGGCCACUAUUACC